CAGAGGGUGCAAGCGUUGUUCGGAAUUAUUGGGCGUAAAGCGCGUGUAGGCGGCUUUGCAAGUCGGGUGUGAAAGCCCUGGGCUCAACCCAGGAAGUGCGCCCGAAACUGCAUUGCUUGAGUACCGGAGAGGGUCGCGGAAUUCCCCAAGUAGAGGUGAAAUUCGUAGAUAUGGGGAGGAACACCGGUGGCGAAGGCGGCGACCUGAACGGAUACUGACGCUGAGACGCGAAAGCGUGGGGAGCAAACAGGAUUAGAUACCCUGGUAGUCCACGCCGUAAACGAUGAGAACUAGGUGUCGCUGGUGUUGACCCCAGCGGUGCCGUAGCUAACGCAUUAAGUUCUCCGCCUGGGAAGUACGGCCGCAAGGCUA
RNAcentral lists this ribosomal RNA (372 nucleotides) under uncultured organism. RNAcentral describes it as "bacterial SSU rRNA". It matches the Rfam family "Bacterial small subunit ribosomal RNA", at positions 526 to 896 of the family's 1533-position model. The record is from RNAcentral.